GAGUUUGAUCAUGGCUCAGAUUGAACGCUGGCGGCAUGCCUUACACAUGCAAGUCGAACGGUAACAGGUCUUCGGAUGCUGACGAGUGGCGAACGGGUGAGUAAUACAUCGGAACGUGCCCGAUCGUGGGGGGAUAACGAAGCGAAAGCUUUGCUAAUACCGCAUAAGAUCUACGGAUGAAAGCAGGGGACCGCAAGGCCUUGCGCGAACGGAGCGGCCGAUGGCAGAUUAGGUAGUUGGUGGGAUAAAAGCUUACCAAGCCGACGAUCUGUAGCUGGUCUGAGAGGACGACCAGCCACACUGGGACUGAGACACGGCCCAGACUCCUACGGGAGGCAGCAGUGGGAAUUUUGGACAAUGGGCGAAGGCCUGAUCCAGCCAUGCCGCGUGCAGGAUGAAGGCC
Molecule: ribosomal RNA, 403 nt
Filed under: uncultured microorganism
Description: bacterial SSU rRNA
Rfam family: Bacterial small subunit ribosomal RNA
Source: RNAcentral